Tachysurus fulvidraco (yellow catfish) is the source of this 5041-nucleotide long non-coding RNA. RefSeq lists it as uncharacterized. Lineage: Eukaryota; Metazoa; Chordata; Actinopteri; Siluriformes; Bagridae. The transcript has 4 exons. The record is from RefSeq and is a predicted model, not a curated record.
AAGAACCUUAUCUCAGUGACAAAACUUUUUUCUCUGUAUUACUUUGUUUCUUAUUGCUUAAUAGCACAAUAAUGAUUGACAUUGAUUGCAUGGAAUGCGUAGGGGAGGAGUGUGUGUGUGUGUGUGUGUGUGUGUGUGUGUGUGUGUGUGUGUGUGUGUGUGUGUGUGUGUGUGUGUGUGUGUGUGUGUGUGUGUGUGUGUGUGUGUGUGUGUGUGUGUGCAUAUGAGCGUUUCCUGCAGGUAUGCGUCCUGGUAUUGACAACAGAAUGUUUAACAGCUGUCUCCUAAAUCAUUUUUACAAGAUCUCAGGGUGCAACAACUGAAAAUUUAGUUUGGGCAUUACUGGCUUUUCAGACGAACCAUUCCACCAGUUGUAGAGUGCACCGCUAAUUCACCUACAACAUGACAGUUACCAAUCAGAAAGGAUCCUCCAAGACACAUGAAGACUGCCAAGUGCAUCCUUUUGAACUGCUGCUCAUGCUACGACACAAAUCACUUGAACACCCACAGAGAAAAACAUUAAUUGCACUCCUCCGAAUACACGAAGUAACAGAUGCCCCUGACUGACCAGUGUCUGAAUUCCUGAUAUCUUCGCCCAUGAGGGCAAAUAUAGGAGAACAACUCUGAUGUUUAGUGCUGUUAAUUUUCACUUUGAAAUUUGAUUUGAAUUAUUAGCAUGAUUGUACACAUGUACAUUAUUGUCAAAGCACUACAGAAAUGACAGAAAACAUUACAUUAUAAUUACUUACAACAUUUACUGUACUGUCGAUUCAGAAACAUGCUGAUGAGAGAAUUGAAAUUAAGCAUUAAUACAAAAAUAAAAUGUGUUUAUUGAUAGAGACUCCACAGCACUUCUGGACAUUUAUCUAAAUAAGUCAUCUGGCAAAAUGGCAUAAUUGUGUGUGGCAUAAAGUGUGUGUGUGUGUGUGUGUGUGUGUGUGUGUGUGUGUGUGUGUGUGUGUGUGUGUGUGUGUGUGUGUGUGUGUGUGUGUGUGUGUGUGUGUGUGUGAUCCCAGGCUUUGAAUGUUCGCACAGCUCAGGUUACUGAAUGUAUAUAAUUUCCAGGUUCUUAGGUUUCCUUCCCAUAUUAGUUAAUGAAUGUGUGAAGUGUGUAUGGAGGUGUGUGUGUGUGUGUGUGUGUGUGUGUGUGUGUGUGUGUGUGUGUGUGUGUGUGUGUGUGUGUGUGAUGUUCUGCUAUUGACUGAAGUUCGAUUCAGGUUGUAUUCUCAGCUCAGGUUCAGUUUGUGUUCCCAAGAUAGACUCCAGAUCAACCACAACAAUGACAAGGAUUAUGUAAUUACAGGGGAUGAAUAAUUCAGUUUGGGGAUACAAGGAUAUUAAACACUGUGUUGUUGUCAAUUAUCAAUUAUUUAAAUUAUUUGGAAAAAAUCUCUUCAUUAAUGCUGAACUUCUCAUUAAUAGUGCUUCACCUUGAUUGUGUUCUCAGACCCAUAAACUAUUAAAAUAGCAUGAGGAUUUUUUUGAUAGAGACUACAAAGCACUUCUGUAAGUCGCUCGGAAUAAGGGCGUCUGCAAAAGUCAUCCAUUUACAUUUUAUCUUCACUGAUAUGAGGCUUUAUAAUAUUUUGAAUUAUUUAAUUUUAUAUCAUCUUAGGUUUGCCAUGCAGGCAUUACUACACUGAAUUUAAAGGAAUCAUUAUGAUAUAUUCAGUGGCUCUAUCCAGAUUUACACAUAAGCUUUUUAAUAGGUUAUUGUAAUUAAAACACCCCAAAGUUCUUCCGUGUGUUGUUUUCAAUUUUAAAAGCUUUACGAAGCUAGCGUUAUAUAACAGUUCAAUAACCUAAAUGAAACUGUGUGCAGACGAUGUUAUCUAACAUUCAGACUGCCUUCAUUUAGUGUUGAACAUGGUUAUCUUCUGUAUUAUUUGGCACAUACUUGCAGCUGUAGUUCUAAUCUGCUUCCUGAAUGUGUUUUCUUGUUCUGUUGUGUGCAAGGAGUUCAUCAAAAUAGUAAAUUGCUGUAGAUAUACUGAUCAACCAUAACAUUAAAACCACUCACUGGUGAAGAGAAUAACACUGAUUAUCUUGUCACAGUGGCACCUGUCAAAAGGUUGGGAUAUAUUAGGCAGCAAGUGAACAGUCAGUUCUCAAAGUUGAUGUGUUUGAAGCAGGAAAAAUGGGCAAGCUUAAGGAUCUGAACACCGAAUUGUGAUAUUGAGAUGACUGGGUCAAAGCUUCCCCAAAACAACAGGUCUUGUGUGGUGUUCUUAGGAUGUGGUGGUUACCAUAUACCAAAAGCGUUCCAACAAAGGACAACCGGUGAACCAGCAUCAUCAAACAUGGGUCAAGGUCACGAAAACCACUUCACUACGCGCACAUGAAGAGCGAAAAAUAGUCUGUCGGUCCGAGCCCACAUACGGGCUACUGUAGCACAAAUUGCAGAAAAACCUAAUGCUGGCUAUAACAGAAAAAUGUCAGAACAGAUGCAUCAGUGUGUGCUGUGUAGAUGCAGUGAUCCUGCUUACCACUGAAAUCACCUGCAAUGAGCACGUGACAAUGACGUGAACAUUGGACCAUGGAACAAUAUUAGGUAGGUGGUUUUAAUGUUAUGGCUGAUUAAUGUAUACUUCAUCAAUCACCAACACACCAGUUAUUCAUUGUUAUGUAAUGUUGCACUGAUGUACAAAAGAGUGAAAAAGAGUAGAGAGAAAGUGAGACUGGCAGGUCUGCAUUUCUAAUUGAAGCAGUCACGCAUAUUACUCUCACUACACUGGAGAUUGACUGAGCAUGUCACAUAAUAAUUGGCCUUAUUUCUUUAAUUCUGUCAUAUUUACCCAGAUUAAAUCCUUACAUUAAUAAUGUUUUCAUGACUAACUAAUGGCUUGCACUUUGCCAAGAAUCGUUUUCUUCCAAGUCUAAUCCAAAUUGGUCCAAUUAAUCAUGUGAAAGGUAAUUAGCGCAGUCAAAUGAGAUGAGAAGGCUUGUUGGUGCUCCGGGGAUUUGUCUUUUCUUUUCGCCGUCUCUCGAUAGAAGUAAAAAAAAAAUUAGUCAAGGAUGGUGGUAGCAGGAAGCCCAGGAAUCGGUGGCAUAAUACUAAUGACUGUGCUUCUUUGUGGCAAAGUAUGUGGGAAUGACAGCUAUACUGUACUUAUUCAAGCUGCUGGCACAUUAGUUGAGAUGUAGAGUCAAUGAGAACAGCAACACAAGAAUAAGAAUGAAUACAUGGGCAAGAUUGGUAAAAAUGAGAACAGACAUAUGGUAUCUGUAUAGAAUUCUGUGUAUGAUUGUGUGCAUACAUUUGAAAUCAUUUCUAAUCCCCGUUUUUGCUUUCAGUUGUCAUUAAGGUACUUUUUCAUUGAAAAAUGUUAACUACUAUAAUCACACAGCAUGGUGCAUUAGUGGAAAUGCACAAGAAGUCAGGGCUGUCUCAUCGAGGAUGUGAUGCAACCACAACAGCAUCUCUGGCAGAGGGACAGCGAGGUCAGAGGAAGUGUUUGAACCCUCCCCCUUCUCUGUACAGGUGGUAAGGGGUUGAAAUGUCACUAAGUGAAAAAGCAACUGUCAAAACACUUCAAAGUGUUCUGGUUAACUGCAUUUAUUUUAAGCAGCAUGGUGCAACACUGCGACAUGCAAGUUGGACAACUUGUACCUUUUCUAAACAUCUGAGGAAAUUUAUGAAAUACUAGAAGAAGAACUACACAUCGGCAACUGCUGGUGAAUUCAAGUGAAUCGAUUCCACAACUGUGGUUUUUACUUCAAAAGCAGAAUUACUGAAUUAUACUGAAGUAAAAAAUUCCACUGAAUUUCUAUGUUUAUUAUUGAAGGUCUUUUAUCUUUUUUUUUAUAUAUAUAUAAAUCUAUACAAAUUGUAAGGCUUAAAGACAGAUAAUAUUAAAAUAAUCAGGUUUAGAGCAUUCUUAGAUGCUGAGAAUGAAACACAGGAAGUUCUUGCAGAAUGCUGGAGAGCCAGAAAGGAAAUGAUCUCAUAUUGAAAAUUGCAAAUCUAUACUCAUGUCUGUUUGUGUUUUUGGUUCUAACAUACAUAAAUCAUUUAUUUAGACUGAACAACCACAGAGCCUGCCCAAGGAACACUGCACAAUGCACGAAUAUAUCCUGACUGCAAUAGUGGUCCAUCAGAGGGCACCAUACACACACAUACACACACAUUCUCUAGGGGACAAUAGAGGGUAGUCAGUCCACCACCCAUCAUGCUUUUGGAGGUGGAAAGAAACCAGAGAACUUUGGGGAAACCACAGGAACUAAUGAGACUUUUAGGGAUGUUGGUUCUUGAAAAAUGAAAUAUUGCAAUUCCGCAAGAAUAAGUAACUACCAAAUACUAUUGAAUAGACUGAGUCUCAUCAUGAAACAUGGUGAUGCCUAGAAGCUGCAACAUGGUUUCAAAUGAAACUUCUAACACAAUAGUAAUAGUACACCUUUGUCAAAUAACAAAAGCUUUCAGUAUGUUUUGAUUUAUAAGUAUAUCAUAUCAGUUUUUCAUUCAUCUGAAGCUGUGACUUCACUGCUACCCAUUGCACCAUCUUGUCACAUUGUAACAUACUCUUAUCAUUGACAGAUAAAGGCACAGUUAAAGAUACACAUCUAUUUAUGUAUUUGUCAAUCAUUGGGAAGAUAAGAAAGUCUGUAAUACAGGGUUUCUAUAAUUCCCCAGACUGACCAUUACAUUUGCCGUAGCAUUUGAUUCUGACUUCAGUGCUCCCAUAAACUCUGAGCAGCAUGUUCUAUCCUCAUUCACAGUGUGAGCUAUAAGCAAUGGAGGCAAUUUAGCCAGAACUCACAAGUAUUGAUCAAGACCCAGUGAAAUAAAUAGGCUGCCAGGCUCUUAUCACUCAAAGCUGACAAUAUAUGAGAAGCAGGUCCAGCUUUCAGCAGCUUGACUGCAUCUCACAGAGCUGGGUUUUGCCAUUAAAGUUAACUGUACAUCAUGCCCUACUUCUUGCAUCUCAAACCGGUGCAAAUGUACAGAUGUACCUGACAUCUGGAUAUGCUGAACUGCAAGGUUAAAUGAGCAAUUCAAAUUGAGUGAUGCUUUGCGAAGCAGUUAAACCGCACAAUUGUUAAC